RNAcentral lists this ribosomal RNA (253 nucleotides) under uncultured bacterium. RNAcentral describes it as "partial 16S ribosomal RNA". It matches the Rfam family "Bacterial small subunit ribosomal RNA", at positions 524 to 776 of the family's 1533-position model. The record is from RNAcentral.
UACGGAGGGGGCUAGCGUUGUUCGGAAUUACUGGGCGUAAAGCGCACGUAGGCGGACUGUUAAGUCGGGGGUGAAAUCCUGGGGCUCAACCUCAGAAUUGCCUCCGAUACUGGCAGUCUCGAGUGCGGGAGAGGUGAGUGGAAUUCCCAGUGUAGAGGUGAAAUUCGUAGAUAUUGGGAAGAACACCAGUGGCGAAGGCGGCUCACUGGCCCGUAACUGACGCUGAGGUGCGAAAGCGUGGGUAGCAAACAGG